UGCGGAAGUGGCGGAAUGGCAGACGCGCACGCUUCAGGCGCGUGUGAGUUUAUCUCGUGUGGGUUCAACUCCCAUCUUCCGCAU
Molecule: transfer RNA, 84 nt
Filed under: Enterococcus casseliflavus
Lineage: Bacteria; Bacillati; Bacillota; Bacilli; Lactobacillales; Enterococcaceae
Also listed under: 1 other name
Description: tRNA-Ser(cag)
Rfam family: tRNA
About the family: Transfer RNA (tRNA) molecules are approximately 80 nucleotides in length. Their secondary structure includes four short double-helical elements and three loops (D, anti-codon, and T loops).
Source: RNAcentral